AUGGUAGAAACAAUGUUUUUGUGCAACACGAGUGCCAUAAAGGACUGGAGCUAUUUUCUGUCGCAGAUACUGCCCCUGAUGAAUAAAACUACAGGCUUGGUAAACAUGGACAAAGCGGAAGAUGUGACGACCACCAUGGUGACGGCUCUGCAGCCGGACAGCGCCAUGAGCGCGAGUAAGCCGCCUCUCAACUCCAACCAUACCUCGGGCAUGGAGCACGUCUUUCAGUACUCUUAUUCGGAGAGUGACCUGCUGUACACGGACUACCGGACCCCUGCGCGAGACUCCAUCCCGCUGCCCAAAGCGGUUCUCUACCUGGUCAUGGCAGCGCUGGUGGUGGUGGCGGUGGCGUAUGCGAUAGUAGGACACCUGGUCAAAGAUGUGGUUAAUGACUUUGUCGGUGGAGGCAGGUCGAUGGUUGCUGAAGGUGACGGAGGUGAAACCAGUGAACCAGGGUGGGUGUUAGGCUCUCGUCGCAACAAGACGGAGAUAAACUGCAUCACCAACAACAUGAACGAGAUGAGCGAGCUGGGCGAGAGGCCCCGGCUGGUGGAAAUGAGCUACAUAUCCAUGAACCACACUAACUGCCUGAGCUCCAGCAGGCCGGAGGAGAUAGUGGUCACCAUAGAUGAGACGCUGCAGCAGCAGCGACCUCCGGACACUCACUCUGGGACUUAACUGCGACCUCCUGACCUUCCCUGAGAGAAAUAAAGCAGCGUAUUUGCUUGCAUUUCUUGUUCAAGUGGAUUUAAAAGUCUUUCAUGAAUCAAAGCUCUAUCCACUGUUUUAUCACCUGCAGGUGGGCUGUUAACACCUGUGCAAUGUUGGGCCAGAAGGGACUUUGAACUGUCGACCCGGGCUGGAACAUUGGAGGCUUCAGAUGCUGAUGUUUGUAUCAGAUUGGACUCCUUUCUGCAGAGAUGGCUUGAGAGGACGGCUGCAGUUUUAUUUUUUUGGACAGGCAGCUGAGAAAAAGGUGUUUUUUUUGUUAUUGUACUUCCCCCUUUUUCAAGUGACCCCCUUGUGAAAAUACCGCUCUGUUAAUGUAGACACUUGCAGUUCACUGUAACCACAAACAGUAUGUAACCACUCUAAAUACAUGAUACACGCCGGGCAGUGCUUAUUGUAAUAUUGCUGCUAGCAAGGUUAAACACAAAACAAUUACGUCAACAUUUUUUAUUAAUUGUGUGACACUUAAAGUUUUUUGUAAUUAUUGUAAAGUUUAUAUCAAGCAGCUCAACUGACACAGGGAGGCUCCAAAUGUUAACACCUGCUUCUUUCUUCUGUAAUAAUGCUGUAAUUACUGGUUGCAAAAAAAGUUCACUACACAGUGAUAAAAAGUAUUUUGUAGUAGUCAUGUUAUUAGCUUGAUGUGAACAAGUGCUAAGUCACCUUUAAGAGCUCUGGUUGCACCUGAUUGCAAAAAAUAUUAAAUAUAAAAGUUUCAAAGCCAUUGCUGUUAUGUUAAAAAAAACAGAGUCAAACAGAGUGACUGUCAUGCUUUAUGAUUUCUUGGUAUUCUUGGCAUCACCUUUGAAGCAAAAAGUGUUCAUGGCUUGUUCCUUUUUCUAAUGUUUAAUAUUUCGUGUGACAUGGCGUUUGUCAGAGCCUUUGUUUACCUGUAUUACCUCACUGUUAAGGGCUACGUACUGCUGCUGAUGAGUCUGGGACACCAUCUCAAAGCUUCAACCGACGGGGCUUAUUUUUCUGUGCAUGCUGGGAUGCAUGCAUUUUACUCUGCACACACACCUACUGUACACUGUGUUUUUGGGAAGAUAUCUACUGAAGUUACUGACGUUUUUGACUAUUUCAAUGUAUGAAUAAACAUUUUUUACACACUUGCACAUAUUUGGGGCAAACUAGAGUAAAGCGGGACUUGACUUCAGAUGGUAGGGUUCCGAUUUUAAGGGCAAUAUAAUAAAAAUGGUGUUGUAACUGUGCAGCAGUGAUCAUUUCCCAGACAUUAAAUGUAACGGUUCAAAAUCUGAACCUGCAAAAAAGCUCAUUUUUUUCCCACCGCCUUGAUGCCGUCAAUAACUGUAUUCUUUCAAGUCAUCUAAUAAAUAUUCAUGAACAAAUGUG
Molecule: long non-coding RNA, 2082 nt
Filed under: Dicentrarchus labrax (European seabass)
Lineage: Eukaryota; Metazoa; Chordata; Actinopteri; Moronidae
Description: lncRNA (ENSDLAG00005010254.2)
Source: RNAcentral